GAAACGACUGCUAAGACUGGAUAGGAGACAGGAAGGCAUCUUCUUGUUUUUAAAAGACCUAGCAAUAGGUAUGCUUAGGGAGGAGCUUGCGUCACAUUAGUUAGUUGGUGGGGUAAAGGCCUACCAAGACUAUGAUGUGUAGCCGGGCUGAGAGGUUGAACGGCCACAUUGGGACUGAGACACGGCCCAAACUCCUACGGGAGGCAGCAGUAGGGAAUUUUCGGCAAUGGAGGAAACUCUGACCGAGCAACGCCGCGUGAACGAUGAAGUAUUUCGGUACGUAAAGUUCUUUUAUUAGGGAAGAAUAAAUGAUGGAAAAAUCAUUCUGACGGUACCUAAUGAAUAAGCCCCGGCUAACUAUGUGCCAGCAGCCGCGGUAAUACAUAGGGGGCAAGCGUUAUCCGGAAUUAUUGGGCGUAAAGGGUGCGUAGGCGGUUAAAUAAGUUUAUGGUCUAAGUGCAAUGCUCAACAUUGUGAUGCUAUAAAAACUGUUUAGCUAGAGUAAGAUAGAGGCAAGUGGAAUUCCAUGUGUAGUGGUAAAAUGCGUAAAUAUAUGGAGGAACACCAGUAGCGAAGGCGGCUUGCUGGGUCUUUACUGACGCUGAGGCACGAAAGCGUGGGGAGCAAACAGGAUUAGAUACCCUGGUAGUCCACGCCGUAAACGAUGAGUACUAAACGUUGGGUAAAACCAGUGUUGAAGUUAACACAUUAAGUACUCCGCCUGAGUAGUACGUACGCAAGUAUGAAACUUAAAGGAAUUGACGGGACUCCGCACAAGCGGUGGAUCAUGUUGUUUAAUUCGAAGGUACCCGAAAAACCUCACCAGGUCUUGACAUGCUUCUGCAAAGCUGUAGAAACACAGUGGAGGUUAUCAGUUGCACAGGUGGUGCAUGGUUGUCGUCAGCUCGUGUCGUGAGAUGUUGGGUUAAGUCCCGCAACGAGCGCAACCCUUAUUGUUAGUUACCAGCACGUAAUGGUGGGGACUUUAGCAAGACUGCCAGUGAUAAAUUGGAGGAAGGUGGGGACGACGUCAAAUCAUCAUGCCCCUUAUGACCUGGGCUACAAACGUGAUACAAUGGCUGUUACAAAGGGUAGCUGAAGCGCAAGUUUUUGGCGAAUCUCAAAAAAACAGUCUCAGUUCGGAUUGAAGUCUGCAACUCGACUUCAUGAAGUUGGAAUCGCUAGUAAUCGCGAAUCAGCAUGUCGCGGUGAAUACGUUCUCGGGGUUUGUACACACCGCCCGUC
Molecule: ribosomal RNA, 1245 nt
Filed under: Bougainvillea proliferation phytoplasma
Lineage: Bacteria; Bacillati; Mycoplasmatota; Mollicutes; Acholeplasmatales; Acholeplasmataceae
Description: bacterial SSU rRNA
Rfam family: Bacterial small subunit ribosomal RNA
Source: RNAcentral